UCUUCACUCGACCAUCAGAACAUUCGAAGCCAUGAUGGACGCAUAUCCAACAGGUUACAAAAAUCCCUCAUACAAAUCCAGAAGAAGACUGGACUCAUUUCACAUUUCAGCCUGAAGUCUAGUAGCAGAAAAUUGGAUAACAGAAAAAGAACCCUAGGUAAAAACAGAUAUGGGAGAGCUCAGUAGAGACAUGCAGGAGAAGGUGAAUUGGAGCAUAGGGAAUUAGCAAACAAUACAUAAAAGAAUGGAGAUCAAUUAAGUGUCCGGGAAUAAGUGGAGGACAGUACUAAUUACAUGUCGAUGGAUGGGACCAGCUUCAAUACUCCCACCUACACUCAGAAGGGAAAUGGGAGCUCCUCAGAGCUUUCAAUUGACUCUGUUGUUGGGAAGAAAUUCAAGUUCCUCCCUUCUCAUCCUCAAGGAGACGCAGUACAACCUCAAGGUGAAGGAUGAAUACUUCCUCGAGUAGCAGCACUUGCAGGAAUCACCAGUCCGUGGUGCAAUCCGGAGCACAACACAUGCAUCUGCCAGUUACAUCCUAAGCACAGAACUGGAGCUUGGUGACACGGAACUUAAAACACGAGGCAAAGCUUGAGAUCCUGAGUCUUCUUCACAACCUUCCGCACACACUGUCAUCAUAUAAAGAGCAUCCUCUGCUGGUGAGUGCGUGGGGUUUUAGAUGUAAAAUGAAUUGUUACUGAUGCUUAGGUGUUGUAUAUUAC
Molecule: long non-coding RNA, 722 nt
Organism: Penaeus vannamei (Pacific white shrimp)
Lineage: Eukaryota; Metazoa; Arthropoda; Malacostraca; Decapoda; Penaeidae
Source: RefSeq, a predicted model, not a curated record